CAAAGGGCUCUUCUCCUGAGAGCCACCUUAUAUUCUCCUAAUAACUGUGU
Myotis davidii is the source of this 50-nucleotide non-coding RNA. Lineage: Eukaryota; Metazoa; Chordata; Mammalia; Chiroptera; Vespertilionidae. The record is from Rfam.